RNAcentral lists this ribosomal RNA (254 nucleotides) under uncultured bacterium. RNAcentral's name for it is "partial 16S ribosomal RNA". It matches the Rfam family "Bacterial small subunit ribosomal RNA", at positions 524 to 778 of the family's 1533-position model. The record is from RNAcentral.
UACAGAGGGUGCGAGCGUUAAUCGGAAUUACUGGGCGUAAAGCGUGCGUAGACGGUAGCGUAAGUCAGAUGUGAAAGCCCCGGGCUCAACCUGGGAAUGGCAUUUGAGACUGCGUAGCUAGGGUGCGGAAGAGGGAAGCGGAAUUCCCGGUGUAGCGGUGAAAUGCGUAGAGAUCGGGAGGAACAUCAGUGGCGAAGGCGGCCAUCUGGGACAACACUGACGCUGAGGCACGAAAGCGUGGGGAGCAACAGGAU